Hyla sarda is the source of this 1554-nucleotide long non-coding RNA. RefSeq lists it as uncharacterized. The record is from RefSeq and is a predicted model, not a curated record. Lineage: Eukaryota; Metazoa; Chordata; Amphibia; Anura; Hylidae. The transcript has 3 exons.
GUCCUAGCACCCGGCCGCCCUCAUAAUUAGGAAUUACACACUCACCUCUCUGUUUUUAUCAGUGUGAAAAUCUCUUUUUCUUUUCAGCCAACACUUUCUGAGCUGCUCAUCCACUUCCUCCAUCUUCCUCAUCGCCACAAGGUGAAUUCUGGGAUGGAUUCUCCUCAUCCACCAUGGUUGCCUCUGUUGUUAUGGCUCUGCUUGUAGAUGCAGAUGGAUCCUCCUCAUCCACCAUGGUUGCCUCUGCUGUUAUGGUGGCAGGAGAUGGAGAUUGCAGGACUGACUAUCACAACAAGGUUCAUCCUCCUGUGGAAAAUGUGUCUCUAAGAUUUUUUUUUCAUAAAGAGUUGAUAUGGCCUCUGGUGUCUUCCUGGAGUCUCCACACCAAGUCAUGACAGCAUCCAUCUUUCCUCUAUCCCAGAGUUUAAGUUGUCAGAAAUCAUGGCUUAUAAAGAAGACCACUAGGGGUCCCCAUACCAUCCAGAACAUAAUCCUAUCAGGCUGCAGCAUUAUCAUUGUCCCAGCUGAAGCACAGGCAAAGUCCAGGAAAUGAGGGCAAGACUAGCACUCCUCUGUGAUCACUCCUGUCCUAUCAGACUACGGCAUGAAAACAGAGAGGAUGGGGUUACAAAAGCAGCCAGCAGUGAUUGGAGGAAGAGACCUAGCACAGCACUGCAGACUCAGGGAGGAAGUGAAUGCAUGGUGAGUGAGGGCGGGCUCAGUGUUUGCCUCAGACACGCCCCCUACUCAUCAAUGGAUGUCAGAAUGAGUGAGCAGCAGAACAGAGGGAUUUGUGAGCCUAAUACGGAAGCUACACACAUAAAAAGGAAAUGUAAAGCAUCUGCCUGACCUAGUUUCCUGUGCACAGAUAGUACGGGACCGUAACCCAUUUGGUGCCGCCACCAGUUAGGACAAGAACUCAAAGUAAGUAGGGACAGGGCGGCAGGUAGAUUAGGGUUGCGCUUGCCACCAUUCAUUAUAUCUCAUGCCAAGUACUGUGAUGCAAUGCAUUCAGAAAGUCUUCAGACCCUUUCACUUUUCUCGUUUUAUCUGCUCUCAAUACCCCAUAAUGUCAAACUGCCAACAGAAUGGUACCAACCUUUGCUAAUCUAUUGAAAAGUAAAAACUAGUCAUCCGCCACGGAGCGAAGUUCGGGAUCCCUGCGAUCAGACAUCUUAUCUCCUAUCCUUUGGAUAGGUGAUAAGAUGUCUAGGGGUGGAGUACCUCUUUAAAGCCCCUUUGACAGUGAUUCCUCCAGUCUUCUUGGGAAUAAGGUCACAAGGUCUGGAUUUGAGGAUUUUCUGCCAUUCUUCUCUGCAGAUCUUCUCAGCUCUGUCAGGUUGGAUGGGGAAUGUCGGUGGAAGCCAUUUUUGGGGAAUGCUCUCCUUCCUCAGAUGACAGUACCCACGUAAACAUCAAACCAAGCCUUGUAAAUAUGAUGCCAUGUUUGGUUAUACUCAGAGAUUAAACUGAUCGGUUGUACAAAAGAACAAUCCCUUAACAUAUUACUAACAGAUAUUUAAUAAGGCAACAUUGAAUAAACAAAAUCACUGA